This is a long non-coding RNA of Ipomoea nil (Japanese morning glory), 368 nucleotides long. RefSeq lists it as uncharacterized. The record is from RefSeq and is a predicted model, not a curated record. The transcript has 3 exons. NCBI's taxonomy places the organism in Eukaryota, Viridiplantae, Streptophyta, Magnoliopsida, Solanales, Convolvulaceae.
CAGUAUUUAGGAGAAGAGACCAAGGUUCGAACCUCGGCAGUAGCAGUGUGGAGAUUAUACCCAAAGUGGGUAGAUCCCUUGUGCGCACCGACAUUUGAUCCUGUCUGCUGAGCUAUUAAGUCACCAUGGUGUGGGGGGCCCUUGGGGUUGGGGACUCAACCUUUGAGAUCCACGCUUGUAACCACAAGGUCACGAGUUCAAAUCCUUGCCUCCUUGGUUUGAGCCGGUCAACUAUAGGUAACUUAGUCUGGUUUACUUCCUUAUGGUCCUUUGCCAGCUAGGGUCACAAGGCUGAGUUUACUUAUACCCAAAAGGGUUGUGAGGUUUCCCUCAUCAUCCAAAAAAAUAAAAGAGAAAAGAGUACAUGA